Molecule: unclassified non-coding RNA, 228 nt
Filed under: Hevea brasiliensis (rubber tree)
Lineage: Eukaryota; Viridiplantae; Streptophyta; Magnoliopsida; Malpighiales; Euphorbiaceae
Source: RNAcentral
GGGCGGCCCGUUAGAUAUCCAUAAGCAGAAGCGGCAUAGCCAGCCGAUUGUUCGUUAUGAAAGGCGAUGAAUCGAAUUCCCAAAGAAACUGCGCGAGUAGCCAGAGAGGUAACAGGGAUUCCGACGACGCCGAACAUCCGGUCGACGCCGCAGCGAGCCAGCGCCAUGGCGGCGAGAACGUUGCCAUCGAUCGGACCGUGAAAUUUGAGGUCAUUUUGAAGAUCUUCA